This is a long non-coding RNA of Lampris incognitus (smalleye Pacific opah), 698 nucleotides long. RefSeq lists it as uncharacterized. The transcript is spliced from 4 exons. The record is from RefSeq and is a predicted model, not a curated record. Lineage: Eukaryota; Metazoa; Chordata; Actinopteri; Lampriformes; Lampridae.
CUGGGAGGUUGGGUGUGACAGCGUGAGUGAGGGUGCUGAAUGAGCCUGAAUGUGUUUUUUUUGGCAUACUUCACUGUUUUUUCUUCAUGGUAAGGGAGCCCACAGCAGUUCAGGCGAGCCACAGCCUGGGGGUGCCGCUGAGGGCAGUAGCCCGCAACCAGCGCAGCAGGCAGCGGGACAUACCGCAAGCGGUGAUCCACAACCUGAUGUGGAGGGAAAUGAAACAACCAAGCAAGGCAGCAAUAAUGAAAGUGACGGUAAUCUGAGUGGUACGGAAGCACAGGAUGCGGAUGCAUGCAGAGACGGAGGACAGACGGAACCAGUGAGAGACAGUCACCCAGCUGAGGCUGAGAGUCAGGUCUUUGCAACAGGGGUUGCCACAGCGGAUUUUACAGUUUCCAUUGGUACCCUGUGAGGGCACAGCACCAAUGGCGGAUGUUGCUAACACGGGCCUUGACCGAUCCGGUAUGGAGCCUUGACCAAUCCAGUAUGGUCUUGUCAAUCCGUAUACUGAUUUGGCAAAGUUUUACGUCGGAUGCCCUUCCUGGCACAACCACUAACCCUAUGGAUGGGGGCACAGGUCGGUAGGAUGUAUCACCUGCUGUCCCCCUGACCAUCAGGUAAGGAAGGCAACAAAUUUGGGGGCUCGUCCGGGAUUAGCGCCUCCAGGUGGAUCAUUGCUAAUCAUCCAAGAACUG